RNAcentral lists this long non-coding RNA (838 nucleotides) under Homo sapiens (human). RNAcentral's name for it is "HSALNT0383723". Lineage: Eukaryota; Metazoa; Chordata; Mammalia; Primates; Hominidae. The record is from RNAcentral.
CUUACUCACCGUUCCCCAUUGGUUUAGAUGAUAACAGAAGAAACAGGACACUAUAAAAACCUUAUUUUGCACCACAGAAAGCAAGAUGUGAAGGCAGUCAGGUUUGAUAACAGUGCGCACUGUUUUUGCAGUAUCUUUCAUCACGAGGCUCUCACAUCAUGUGCUCUGAGCUCAUGUAACACACUCUGCUGGAAUGCCCCCAUUCAAGAGGGGAGAGAGUCCGUGACAGUCCUCCCUGCACUCACUGUGCUAGCAAAGAUGUCCGGGAAGGACAGAAAAGAAUGUAAUGUGCAAUUAAAACAAGGGAGAGUGAUUAAUGUAGGCAAAAAUUAAUCACAAGGGCAGUGUCAAAGUUUGGUGGGACAACUGCGUGUUCAGAAGACACCUGAAAAAAGUGAAAUGAAGAACCAAGGAUCAUCUGAGCAAAGACUCAAGGACCAUUUGAACAAAGACAUCCACAUCUAUACCACAGAUGACUUGGCAUCUAUGGAGGAGUGGAGGACAAGGCUGUUCUCUGAAGUUCCCUUACCCACCUAGAAACCAGAUCCCCAAAGAGGAACACUACGGCCUGCAAUUGCACCCUGCCAUCCACCAGCUCAAGACUGAGGAAUGCAACCAUACCCAGACAGACUUUUUCACAAGACAAUUUCUGCCUCUGGAGCGUGUUCAAAUUCUAAAGAGCAUCAUUUACAAGUAAAUUGCUGUCUCAGGGAAAUAUUCAUUUUCCCUGAAAAUCAUUUACUCCUACACCCCCAAUACCUUCUCACCAAUAAAUAAAGCAUUUAAGGAUCAACCAUCUGGCCAUUUUCUUGAGUUUUCAUAUUUUGUAUGACUCCCA